This 588-nucleotide long non-coding RNA is filed under the name Olea europaea (common olive). RNAcentral describes it as "long non-coding RNA (OEUR_LNC002840)". The record is from RNAcentral. Lineage: Eukaryota; Viridiplantae; Streptophyta; Magnoliopsida; Lamiales; Oleaceae.
UUUCUUAUAGUGAAGAACAUUUCAAGACUUUAGCCUGUUACCUUGCUCAUCUUUUUAGUCUUGCAACAUUAAAUAUACACCAUAAUAGAUGACUUUCCAACUCAUUGUGUAAUUAAUUAUUUCCACCACCCACUAAUCAAUGGUCCAUAAAGUUAAUUAAACACCAUAUUUUAGCACAAAAUGCAAUACAUAAUUCCUUACAUUAAAGUUAAUCAUGUUUUGUUUUUUGAGUAAUGUUACUUAGCACCAACCACUCUGUUAAAAACCAAUUUAUAUUAAUAUAACUUUAAACGAGAGGUAUAUUUAAGACAAAUAUUAUUUUUCUUUCUUUUUAUGAUCAUAUUCUUUUUUUAAUUGAGAGGUAUAUUAAUGUAGCAUAGUGCUAGAUAGCAAUAUUCUUUCUUUUUAAGAUCAUAUUUUCCAUCAACACUUGCUUUCCCUUUGACCAAAUAAAAAGGAUAACUACAGUUUAUUAUUUAAAAUAAUGAGUGCUGAAUGUUUAAUUUGUUCGAGUUCUAAUACAUGGUGGGUAAAAAUAUUAUUUUUAUUUAUAGAUUUCUCGUAAAUUUCAUAAUUAUUUUCUAUAUG